RNAcentral lists this ribosomal RNA (425 nucleotides) under uncultured bacterium. Its description in RNAcentral is "bacterial SSU rRNA". It matches the Rfam family "Bacterial small subunit ribosomal RNA", at positions 8 to 429 of the family's 1533-position model. The record is from RNAcentral.
AGAGUUUGAUCCUGGCUCAGGAUGAACGCUAGCGGCAGGCUUAAUACAUGCAAGUCGUGGGGCAGCACAGGUAGCAAUACUGGGUGGCGACCGGCAAACGGGUGCGGAACACGUACGCAACCUUCCUUCAAGUGGGGGAUAGCCCAGGGAAACUUGGAUUAAUACCCCGUAACAUUAUGAGAUGGCAUCAUCUUAUAAUUAAAGCUACGGCGCUUGGAGAUGGGCGUGCGGCUGAUUAGGUAGUUGGCGGAGUAAUAGCCCACCAAGCCUUCGAUCAGUAACUGGUGUGAGAGCACGACCAGUCACACGGGCACUGAGACACGGGCCCGACUCCUACGGGAGGCAGCAGUAAGGAAUAUUGGUCAAUGGACGCAAGUCUGAACCAGCCAUGCCGCGUGGAGGAUGAAGGCCCUCUGGGUUGUAAA